GCUAUCUUGCCCUAGAAAGGGAACUCGGAGGGGACUCACUGACGAAAGGAGCUCCAGAUGGCGGGGGGCCAACCUGGGGCGACCCCCAGCGCCCACUUUCACCAUCUGGACCCCAGCAAACCUCCCUGUGGCCCUUGGUCCCGUCUUCAGCAGCUCCUUCUGGGGUCCCACACCUUCGGAGCCCGGCCCUGCCCCUGAGUCUCUGGAGAGAGCGAGUCAGCAGUUCGCCGCCGCGGGGCUCCCGUUUGCCUAGCACGCCAGUUUCUGUCCAGUUUCACCCCAAAUCCCCACCUCCCCCCACCCCCGAACCUCACGGCCACCCUGGGAAGGAGGCUUGACUUGUGACAUCCACCCCUCUUCACGGCUGAGGAACUUUGGCCCCGAGCGAGGAAGCGACCGGCCCACGGCCACACGCCCGGAGUGGGUGAGGCUAGGAGUGGGCCCGCUCCGGGACCCCUAGGGACCCUACCUCACUUCCGGGAGGGUUGAAGGGGGGCUCCGGAGGGAGGAUCGCCGCCCCCAGAGGGGACAGCCCGGAGGCCCACGUACCGGAUCGCGGCGCGCACAGCGCCCCGCCUGCAGGAGCCCGGGCGCGCUUCCGGGGGGCAGCAUCUUCUACUAUGUGCAUCUACAUUGGAUGGCAGUGGAGCAACACAGAUUGUUUUCUGACAAAAAUCAGCCAAGUACUAGGAGAGGCAGGACUUUAGAAGUGGAGGAGAUGGAGAAGGAAGCUUAGGUUACUAUGGAGUGUGCAAAAAGGUCCUGUGGAUUUAGAUACCACCACACACAAAUGCUGUUGUUGGAAGGUACCUGCCCAGAUAAGGACUGCAUUUCCUCUAGCAUCCAGAUGGGACCAAAUGACUGCUGGCCAAUAGAAGUGAGUGGAAAGGACUGACUCCAGUUCCAGGUUGGGCCUCCAACUGCUCUGGGCACGUCGAUGGAACAGAACACCACCUCCACCCCAAUACCACCAAUUCAACUUUACAUGAAUUAUAAGCGAGAAAUAACUUGGACUGUGUUAAGUCAUUGAGUUUCUGGGGUUUAACUGUUAUUAUAGUUAAGAAUGACUUUAACUAAUAUAGUCAAUGACAUCUAACUGGAGUUAUGAAAUUCAAUUUCUACUUAGAGUAAUUGAAGCAAAGGUUGUGGGGGAGGGGAGGAGGGCAGCACACCAUGAAAUCAGAGAUCCCCAGUACGUGUUAGUUCAUCAGUCAAUCAGUCUUAAGGUCAGGGUGUAGUGUGGGCAGCAGUUGCCUCCCUCUCCCCACAGAACACCCUGAGAAUAGGAAGUUAGAGUAGUCGCAUCUUAUUACUUACAAAACAUUACCUCAAAAUGCAAACUACCCCCUGGACCCAAACUCUCUACAAUCACCAGGUUCCAUAAACUAUAAUCUACUCUGUUUUCUGGAAGAAAAUAUUAACCUGUUAAAAUUCCCUGCACAGAGAGGAAACUUUUUCUGGGAGGUAUUCCUGAACUCAUUUUGCCAACUUCCAGAUGAACAAAACUAAAGUUUCUUUUUGCUUCUUCCAAAAACAUAAAUUAUCAAAUAACAUUUAUAACUUGAAAAAGAAUCCUAGAAUAUUUUCAUGAAUAAUAAUUAGAAGAGUAAUGUUCACAUGGGAAGGGCGUCUUUUCUCUGCUGUGUGCAUAGGACCCUGGGACCCUGGGAUUUAAGUCAUAUGGAACUUGGUCAACUCCUCCAAAAUGCUCCCAGCGCUCACAGGGGCUGCCUUGGUGUUUGGAAGGAGGUGGUGCCAAAGCAGUUGGUUUGCUGGAUUUUGACUUUCUUUUUUUAAAGUGGUAUUUGCAAAUACUACCCCGAGGGCAAUGGUUAAUGGAUUUGACCUUUGGGUCAUGGGGGCCAGGGAGCAGCACUCAUAGAAGCUGUGUGUGUGUGUGUUGCGGGGCGGGGGCGGGCUGCUGACUGGCUCUGCCACUCACCUCUCAGGCCUUAGGAAUACUGAAGAUUCUCACCUACGAUUGGUGGCGAUGGUGGGAGUGGUCCUUAAAACUGCUUUAUAGAAAAUCAUAGUGGAGGCCAGGCGCCGUGGCUCAUGCCUGUAAUCCCAGCACUUCGGGAGGCCGAGAUGGGCGGACCACGAGGUCAGGAGAUCAAGACCAUCCUGGCUAACACGGUGAAACCCCGUCUCUACUAAAAAUACAAAAAAAUUAGCCGGGUGUGGUGGCUGACGCCUGUAGUCCCAGCUACUCUGAAGGCUGAGGCAGGAGAAUGGCGUGAACCCAGGAGGCGGAGCUUGCAGUGAGCCGAGAUCGUGCCACUGCACUCCAACCUGGGCGACAGAAGGAGACUCCGUCUCAAAAAAAAAAAAAAAAGAAAGAAAAAGAAAAAAGAAAAUCAUAGCGGAACAGACCAGGAUGACCACUGAUCGGCCAAGGUGAACCUGGACUCAAAGUUCUACAGCAAAGGCUGUCCACAACACUACUUACUACUCACUACUCACAAGAGCUUCUAGUUGGCAUCCUCAAACCAGAGAGCAGUUGUACUGGGGGUAAGGCACUGCUAGGGUUCUCUGUAGGACACACAUGAGAUGUUAAGGAAUCUAGCUGUGGGCAAUACAGAGAUGAGAAAUAGGUGGCUACAAUCAGUCAGGUGAGAGGUAGCACAGUGUAGGGAUAGCAGGCUUUGAAAUUUUUAACAGACCUGGGUUCAACUCCUAGUUUUGCCACACUGUUUUUCUGGGUGGUCUUGAACAAGUUCUUUCUCUAAUCCUCCCCAUCUAUAAUUGGGUCUGAACACUUACCAUACCACCCAGCACUGCUGUGAGCAUUCAAUAAAAUAGCACGUCUGAUAAGAAGAAGGCACUUGAUCAAGGAAGGGCAGCCACAGAAGCCUUCGUGCCAUGGUUAGUGGAACUCAGAGAGAAGGGUUCUGUAUGUCCCAGUUGUUU
RNAcentral lists this long non-coding RNA (2910 nucleotides) under Homo sapiens (human). Its description in RNAcentral is "non-protein coding lnc-R3HCC1L-7:8". Lineage: Eukaryota; Metazoa; Chordata; Mammalia; Primates; Hominidae. The record is from RNAcentral.